GACGAACGCUGGCGGCGUGCUUAACACAUGCAAGUCGAACGGAAAGGCCCUGCUUUUGUGGGGUGCUCGAGUGGCGAACGGGUGAGUAACACGUGAGUAACCUGCCCUUGACUUUGGGAUAACUUCAGGAAACUGGGGCUAAUACCGGAUAGGAUCUCCUGCUGCAUGGUGGGGGUUGGAAAGUUUCGGCGGUUGGGGAUGGACUCGCGGCUUAUCAGCUUGUUGGUGGGGUAGUGGCUUACCAAGGCUUUGACGGGUAGCCGGCCUGAGAGGGUGACCGGCCACAUUGGGACUGAGAUAAGGCCCAGACUCCUACGGGAGGCAGAAGUGGGGAAUAUUGCACAAUGGGCGGAAGCCUGAUGCAGCAACGCCGCGUGCGGGAUGACGGCCUUAGGGUUGUAAACCGCUUUCGCCUGUGACGAAGCGUGAGUGACGGUAAUGGGUAAAGAAGCACCGGCUAACUACGUG
RNAcentral lists this ribosomal RNA (468 nucleotides) under uncultured bacterium. Its description in RNAcentral is "partial 16S ribosomal RNA". It matches the Rfam family "Bacterial small subunit ribosomal RNA", at positions 28 to 507 of the family's 1533-position model. The record is from RNAcentral.